This 570-nucleotide unclassified non-coding RNA is filed under the name Daphnia magna. RNAcentral describes it as "uncharacterized LOC123475888, transcript variant X3". The record is from RNAcentral. Lineage: Eukaryota; Metazoa; Arthropoda; Branchiopoda; Diplostraca; Daphniidae.
AACUUAGUUCUAUUGCUUUGGAUUCUGAACAAGGUUCUGAGCAUGUGCCUAGUGACAUUUGUGCUUGCGCAGCACUUGAGGUUUUACCCUAUCUAAUUCCAGUCAGGAAGAAAAAGGGUGUUAUCCCUUCUCACUUUCUGUAUUAUCCUCAAGAAGAUUCAGUUAGCCUGGAUGCGGUUUUAAAGGAAUCGGUCAAUCGUCCCCCGUUCAUCAUUCAAAUUGAAGAUUCCUUCCACGUCAUCGUAGAUAACCAAGUUUUGGUAACUUCUAACUCGGUCUCCGACGCAUUGUUGAACGUAUUUUCCUCUUACUAUGUUUUCUAUAUCGAAUAUAGUAAGCAAGUAUUGAAAUCAUUGUUGUUCCUGCAAAGUGAGGUCUUCGGUUUAAAAGAUGAUUGUUCCAUUAAUUGCCCUGGUUUACCUCUUUUUGUAAACACUUUUAAUGCUGUUAAACUGUAAUUGACCUUUUGUUCGUUGUCAUUGUCGUCGUCGUCGUUCAUUAAUGUUUCGUUGAACUGACAACAUUCAAACAAAAUGCAAUUUUGGUCGGCAAAGAGCAAUACAAAGUUUA